UAAGAAAAUUAGAGUUGGAAUUUCACUUUUACAACUUUCAUUGGCUGAAUACUUAAAAAAAAAAAAAAUAGUGCGAUUGUAGAACAAAACCCAGAGACGGAAAAUCCCUCGGCUCCAAUGCACGGCUGAACGCCUCACCAACCGGUGCACGCCACCGAGCCCAGGAGGAAGACCUGGGCCAGCCGCCCCACCAGGCUCUCCCCGCGUCUCCCCCUCCCCCGAGGACCACUGUCUU
RNAcentral lists this long non-coding RNA (235 nucleotides) under Zalophus californianus (California sea lion). RNAcentral's name for it is "lncRNA (ENSZCAG00015015196.1)". The record is from RNAcentral. Lineage: Eukaryota; Metazoa; Chordata; Mammalia; Carnivora; Otariidae.